CAGACGUUUGCUGACUCGAAAGAUCGGGCCAAGCCCCGUGCCGGAAACCCAGGAACGCAUCCCCACCUCGAAACUGAGAUGGGAAAGGAGAAACUAGAAUCUUUAAUAUCAGGUGGGAUGAGGCGUCCUGUCUCCACAGAAGCCGCUCCUCUCCAGAGAAAGACGAACAGAUGAGAAUAUUCCUCUGGGCUGAAGCAGCACCAUGCCCGGGAGGAAAGCUCUAACCAGCCCCUUGUGAUCUGGCUGCCGCCAGGGCCAGCUGUGAGGACAGGGGGUCUCCGCCGCAGGGAAAGGAAGCGGGGUCUCUAGUCCCAGGUGGAGGUGGAGGUGGAUGCAGUGGGCUCCCUCCCUGGUGACUGCACGGCCGUCUCUUCCCUUGCUUCUACUUCGUGCCCUGGCCUCAGGCUCAGCGUGAGUGCAGGCAGAGCCCACUGCCGCGACACCUCCCCUGGGGAAGGGUCAGGCAGGUGUGGCCGCAUGGCACCCACGAGGUGCCAAAUGCCUGUCCUGCGAGGCUCAGCCCCCCUAUGGCUCCCCAGCACCCUCCCCAGCCCUCCCCUGCAAGUUGGCCCACAGCCCUCUCUGCCAUUCACC
RNAcentral lists this long non-coding RNA (594 nucleotides) under Equus caballus (horse). Its description in RNAcentral is "lncRNA (ENSECAG00000058398.1)". The record is from RNAcentral. Lineage: Eukaryota; Metazoa; Chordata; Mammalia; Perissodactyla; Equidae.